AGUGAACGCUGGCGGCAGGCCUAACACAUGCAAGUCGAACGGAAGCACAGUAAGAUUUUGCCUUUACGGGUGGCGAGGGGCGGACGGGUGAGGAAUACAUCGGAUUCUACUUUUUCGGGGGGGAUAACGUGGGGAAACUUCCGCUAAUACCGCAUAUGACCAACGGGUGAAAGCAGGGGUUCUUCGGACUUUUCCUGUUUGAUUGAGCUGAUGUCGGAUUAGCUAGUUGGCGGGGUAAAGGCCCACCAAGGCGACGAACCGUAGCUGGUCUGAGAGGAUGAUCAGCCACACUGGAACUGAGACACGGUCCAGACUCCUACGGGAGGCAGCAGUGGGGAAUAUUGGACAAUGGGCGAAAGCCUGAUCCAGCCAUACCGCGUGGGUGAAGAAGGCCUUCGGGUUGUAAAGCCCUUUUGUUGGGAAAGAAAAGCAGCAGGUUAAUACCCCGCUGUUCUGACGGUACCCAAAGAAUAAGCACCGGCUAACUUCGUG
This 492-nucleotide ribosomal RNA is filed under the name uncultured bacterium. Its description in RNAcentral is "partial 16S ribosomal RNA". It matches the Rfam family "Bacterial small subunit ribosomal RNA", at positions 29 to 507 of the family's 1533-position model. The record is from RNAcentral.